Molecule: long non-coding RNA, 241 nt
Organism: Hipposideros armiger (great roundleaf bat)
Lineage: Eukaryota; Metazoa; Chordata; Mammalia; Chiroptera; Hipposideridae
Exons: 2
Source: RefSeq, a predicted model, not a curated record
AACGUAUCUGGUGGAUCGUAACGCCUCUUGGCUUCUGUCAUGUUCCUUAUUGUUAAGAUGCCAUGCCAUGCAAAUCCCUUGAAGCCCCUGAGUCACCUUGUCCUGGGUUUCCUCUUCAGUGGUGUGUUGAUUCAUUCCUUCAUGCAGCUUGUCUUUAUGGAGAUUCUACUGUGUGCCAGGAUUUGUGCUGAUGACAAAAACGACACUGUCCCAGUUCAAAUAUAGCUUAUAGUCUUUACUA